Molecule: ribosomal RNA, 253 nt
Filed under: uncultured bacterium
Lineage: Bacteria
Description: partial 16S ribosomal RNA
Rfam family: Bacterial small subunit ribosomal RNA
Source: RNAcentral
UACGGGGGGGGCAAGCGUUGUUCGGAAUUACUGGGCGUAAAGGGCUCGUAGGCGGCCAACUAAGUCAGACGUGAAAUCCCCAGGCUUAACCUGGGAACUGCGUCUGAUACUGGAUGGCUUGAAUUCGGGAGAGGGAUGCAGAAUUCCAGGUGUAGCGGUGAAAUGCGUAGAUAUCAGGAAGAACACCAAUGGCGAAAGCAGCUCUCUGGGACGGUACUGACGCUGAGACGCGAAAGCGUGGGGAGCGAACAGG